RNAcentral lists this ribosomal RNA (497 nucleotides) under uncultured bacterium. Its description in RNAcentral is "partial 16S ribosomal RNA". It matches the Rfam family "Bacterial small subunit ribosomal RNA", at positions 28 to 507 of the family's 1533-position model. The record is from RNAcentral.
GACGAACGCUGGCGGCGUGCCUAAUACAUGCAAGUUGAGCGCUGAAGGUUGGUACUUGUACCGACUGGAUGAGCAGCGAACGGGUGAGUAACGCGUGGGGAAUCUGCCUUUGAGCGGGGGACAACAUUUGGAAACGAAUGCUAAUACCGCAUAAAAACUUUAAACACAAGUUUUAAGUUUGAAAGAUGCAAUUGCAUCACUCAAAGAUGAUCCCGCGUUGUAUUAGCUAGUUGGUGAGGUAAAGGCUCACCAAGGCGAUGAUACAUAGCCGACCUGAGAGGGUGAUCGGCCACAUUGGGACUGAGACACGGCCCAAACUCCUACGGGAGGCAGCAGUAGGGAAUCUUCGGCAAUGGACGAAAGUCUGACCGAGCAACGCCGCGUGAGUGAAGAAGGGUUUCGGAUCGUAAAACUCUGUUGGUAGAGAAGAACGUUGGUGAGAGUGGAAAGCUCAUCAAGUGACGGUAACUACCCAGGAAGGGACGGCUAACUACGUG